Molecule: ribosomal RNA, 528 nt
Filed under: uncultured bacterium
Lineage: Bacteria
Description: bacterial SSU rRNA
Rfam family: Bacterial small subunit ribosomal RNA
Source: RNAcentral
UGGGGAAUAUUGCACAAUGGGCGAAAGCCUGAUGCAGCGACGCCGCGUGAGGGAUGACGGCCUUCGGGUUGUAAACCUCUUUCGACAGGGACGAAGCGCAAGUGACGGUACCUGUAGAAGAAGCACCGGCCAACUACGUGCCAGCAGCCGCGGUAAUACGUAGGGUGCGAGCGUUGUCCGGAAUUACUGGGCGUAAAGAGCUUGUAGGCGGUUUGUCGCGUCGUCUGUGAAAACUCACAGCUCAACUGUGAGCUUGCAGGCGAUACGGGCAGACUUGAGCACUGCAGGGGAGACUGGAAUUCCUGGUGUAGCGGUGAAAUGCGCAGAUAUCAGGAGGAACACCGGUGGCGAAGGCGGGUCUCUGGGCAGUAACUGACGCUGAGAAGCGAAAGCGUGGGUAGUGAACAGGAUUAGAUACCCUGGUAGUCCACGCCGUAACGGUGGGUACUAGGUGUGGGUUUCCUUCCACGGGAUCCGUGCCGUAGCUACGCAUUAAGUACCCCGCCUGGGGAGUACGGCCGCAAGGCU